CAUACAGUAGAUAUUACCAUUAAGAGUCAGUUAGAAAGGUAAUCAUACAGUAGAUAUUACCAUUAGGAGUCAGUUAGAAAGGUAAUCAUACAGUAGAUAUUACCAUUAGGAGUCAGUUAGAAAGGUAAUCAUACAGUAGAUAUUACCAUUAGGAGUCAGUUAGAAAGGUAAUCAUACAGUAGAUAUUACCAUUAGGAGUCAGUUAGAAAGGUAAUCAUAC
Long non-coding RNA from Oncorhynchus keta (chum salmon), 220 nucleotides. RefSeq lists it as uncharacterized. The record is from RefSeq and is a predicted model, not a curated record. Lineage: Eukaryota; Metazoa; Chordata; Actinopteri; Salmoniformes; Salmonidae. The transcript has 3 exons.